This 253-nucleotide ribosomal RNA is filed under the name uncultured bacterium. RNAcentral's name for it is "partial 16S ribosomal RNA". It matches the Rfam family "Bacterial small subunit ribosomal RNA", at positions 524 to 776 of the family's 1533-position model. The record is from RNAcentral.
GACGUAGGGCGCGAGCGUUGUCCGGAUUUAUUGGGCGUAAAGCGCGCGUAGGCGGCCCGUUCAGUCGGAUGUGAAAACCCGUGGCUCAACCACGGGCCUGCAUCCGAUACUGGCGGGCUCGAGGCAGGCAGGGGAGAUCGGAAUUCCUGGUGUAGCGGUGAAAUGCGCAGAUAUCAGGAGGAACACCGGUGGCGAAGGCGGAUCUCUGGGCCUGUCCUGACGCUCAGGCGCGAAAGCUAGGGGAGCAAACAGG